AUGGUGUUCACUGCGUACUUGCUGGCAGGUCUCCUGACCUAUGGAGGAGCGUCUCGAAGGACUGUUCCUCCAUGUGACCAGCACGCGUUUUACAGUAAUAUUGACAUCUGCCUGUCAGACUUCAACAGAAGCCUGGAGUCCAGCGGCCAUGAGCAGAGCUGCCCGUGGCCGGCAGUCAAAAGCUCCUAUAACAGACUGAAGGCCUGCGUGGACCACUGGGCCAUCUCCUUUUGGUGUAAAGGUCACAAGUACUUGGUGGAUGACGUGUUCUUGGGGGUCCAUCAGAAGUACUUCUCUGUCUGUGACUACAACCGUGACCCCCCACUCACUACUCUUCUGACCUUAAUAUUACCCGGUGUCAUUGCCACUUUUCUUAUUCCUUUUUUGUGUCUUUGCAUUGUUAAUGUGGAAACCUAA
This 417-nucleotide long non-coding RNA is filed under the name Betta splendens (Siamese fighting fish). RNAcentral describes it as "lncRNA (ENSBSLG00000020279.1)". Lineage: Eukaryota; Metazoa; Chordata; Actinopteri; Anabantiformes; Osphronemidae. The record is from RNAcentral.